UUAGGAAUUUUGGGCAAUGGGCGCAAGCCUGACCCAGCAACGCCGCGUGGGUGACGAAGGCCUUCGGGUUGUAAAGCCCUUUUCUGGGGGAAGAUGAUGACGGUACCCCAGGAAGAAGCACCGGCUAACUACGUGCCAGCAGCCGCGGUAAUACGUAGGGUGCGAGCGUUGCCCGGAUUUAUUGGGCGUAAAGGGCGCGCAGGCGGCUCGGCACGUCCGUUGUGAAAUCGCCCGGGCUCAACUGGGCGGGGUCAGCGGAUACGGCCGAGCUGGAGCAAGCUAGGGGGCAAUGGAAUUCCCGGUGUAGUGGUGGAAUGCGUAGAUAUCGGGAGGAACACCAGUGGCGAAGGCGGUUGCCUGGAGCUUUGCUGACGCUGAGGCGCGAAAGCGUGGGGAGCGAUCCGGAUUAGAUACCCGGGUAGUCCACGCCGUAAACGAUGCGGACUAGGUGUCGGGGGUAUCGACCCCCUCGGCGCCGCAGCUAACGCAUUAAGUCCGCCGCCUGGGGACUACGGCCGCAAGGCUAAAAACUCAAAUGAA
RNAcentral lists this ribosomal RNA (540 nucleotides) under uncultured bacterium. RNAcentral's name for it is "bacterial SSU rRNA". It matches the Rfam family "Bacterial small subunit ribosomal RNA", at positions 355 to 909 of the family's 1533-position model. The record is from RNAcentral.